This 493-nucleotide ribosomal RNA is filed under the name uncultured bacterium. RNAcentral's name for it is "bacterial SSU rRNA". It matches the Rfam family "Bacterial small subunit ribosomal RNA", at positions 27 to 518 of the family's 1533-position model. The record is from RNAcentral.
GGACGAACGCUGGCGGCGUGCCUAACACAUGCAAGUCGAACGGAACUAUUUGACUGAUUCCUUCGGGAUGAAGAAUUUUAGUUAGUGGCGGACGGGUGAGUAACGCGUGAGUAACCUGCCUCUGAGAGGGGAAUAACGUUCUGAAAAGAACGCUAAUACCGCAUAACACAUAUUUGCCGCAUGACAGAUAUGUCAAAGAUUUUUAUCGCUCGGAGAUGGACUCGCGUCCGAUUAGUUAGUUGGUGAGGUAACGGCUCACCAAGGCCGCGAUCGGUAGCCGGACUGAGAGGUUGAACGGCCACAUUGGGACUGAGACACGGCCCAGACUCCUACGGGAGGCAGCAGUGGGGGAUAUUGCGCAAUGGGGGCAACCCUGACGCCAGCAACGCCGCGUGAAGGAUGAAGGUUUUCGGAUUGUAAACUUCUUUUAUCAGGGACGAACUCUGACGGUACCUGAUGAAUAAGCUCCGGCUAACUACGUGCCAGCCGCAGC